Molecule: ribosomal RNA, 492 nt
Filed under: uncultured bacterium
Lineage: Bacteria
Description: partial 16S ribosomal RNA
Rfam family: Bacterial small subunit ribosomal RNA
Source: RNAcentral
AGUGAACGCUGGCGGUAGGUCUAACACAUGCAAGUCGAACGGCAGCACAGUAAGAGCUUGCUCUUACGGGUGGCGAGUGGCGGACGGGUGAGGAAUACAUCGGAAUCUACUUUUUCGUAGGGGAUAACGUAGGGAAACUUACGCUAAUACCGCAUACGACCUACGGGUGAAAGCAGGGGAUCUUCGGACCUUGCGCGAUUGAAUGAGCCGAUGUCGGAUUAGCUAGUUGGCGGGGUAAAGGCCCACCAAGGCGACGAUCCGCAGCUGGUCUGAGAGGAUGAUCAGCCACACUGGAACUGAGACACGGUCCAGACUCCUACGGGAGGCAGCAGUGGGGAAUAUUGGACAAUGGGCGCAAGCCUGAUCCAGCCAUACCGCGUGGGUGAAGAAGGCCUUCGGGUUGUAAAGCCCUUUUGUUGGGAAAGAAAAGCAGCAGGUUAAUACCCCGCUGUUCUGACGGUACCCAAAGAAUAAGCACCGGCUAACUUCGUG